AGCAGCCGCGGUAAUUCCAGCUCCAAUAGCGUAUAUUAAAGUUGUUGCAGUUAAAAAGCUCGUAGUUGAAUUUCGGGAUUGGCGCAUCGGUCGUGCCUCACGGGGUAUGAACUGGUGCAGUCAAUUUCUCACCUUCUGGAGAACCGCGAUGUCCUUAAUUGGAUGCCGCGGGGAACCAGGACCUUUACUUUGAAAAAUUAGAGUGUUUAAAGCAGGCAUUUUUGCUUGAAUACAUUAGCAUGGAAUAAUAAAAUAGGACGGCAUGGUUCUAUUUUGUUGGUUUCUAGGACCACCGUAAUGAUUAAUAGGGAUAGUUGGGGGCAUUAGUAUUCAAUUGUCAGAGGUGAAAUUCUUGGAUUUAUUGAAGACUAACUACUGCGAAAGCAUUUGCCAAGGAUGUUUUCAUUAACCAAGAACGAAAGUUAGGGGAUCGAAGACGAUCAGAUACCGUCGUAGUCUUAACCAUAAACUAUGCCGACUAGGAAUCAGACGAUGUUAAUUUUUAAUGACUCGUUUGGCA
Molecule: ribosomal RNA, 520 nt
Filed under: uncultured Entrophospora
Lineage: Eukaryota; Fungi; Glomeromycota; Glomeromycetes; Entrophosporales; Entrophosporaceae
Description: SSU rRNA
Rfam family: Eukaryotic small subunit ribosomal RNA
Source: RNAcentral